CCUGCACAAGCGGUGGARAAAUAAGGUUUAAUUCGAAGCAACGCGCAGAACCUUACCAGCGUUUGACAUGUCCGGACGGUUGGCAGAGAUGCCUUCCUUCCCUUCGGGGACUGGAACACAGRUGCUGCAUGGCKGUCGUCAGCUCGUGUCGUGAGAUGUUGGGUUAAGUCCCGCAACGAGCGCAACCCUCSCCUUUAGUUACCAUCAUUUAGUUGGGGACUCUAAAGGAACCGCCGGUGAUAAGCCGGAGGAAGGKGGGGAUGACGUCAAGUCCUCAUGGCCCUUACGCGCUGGGCUACACACGUGCUACAAUGGCGGUGACAGUGGGCAACAAACUCGCGAGAGUGCG
RNAcentral lists this ribosomal RNA (349 nucleotides) under Sphingomonas sp. RNAcentral's name for it is "bacterial SSU rRNA". It matches the Rfam family "Bacterial small subunit ribosomal RNA", at positions 920 to 1267 of the family's 1533-position model. Lineage: Bacteria; Pseudomonadati; Pseudomonadota; Alphaproteobacteria; Sphingomonadales; Sphingomonadaceae. The record is from RNAcentral.